GUCCACGCCGUAAACGAUGAAUGCUAGCCGUUGGGCAGCUUGCUGUUCAGUGGCGCAGCUAACGCAUUAAGCAUUCCGCCUGGGGAGUACGGCCGCAAGGUUGAAACUCAAAGGAAUUGACGGGGGCCCGCACAAGCGGUGGAGCAUGUGGUUUAAUUCGACGCAACGCGCAGAACCUUACCAGGGUUUGACAUCCUGCGACCGCUCCGUAAUGGGAGUUUUCCCGCAAGGGACGCAGAGACAGGUGCUGCAUGGCUGUCGU
RNAcentral lists this ribosomal RNA (262 nucleotides) under uncultured bacterium. RNAcentral describes it as "partial 16S ribosomal RNA". It matches the Rfam family "Bacterial small subunit ribosomal RNA", at positions 793 to 1055 of the family's 1533-position model. The record is from RNAcentral.